Molecule: long non-coding RNA, 279 nt
Filed under: Mytilus galloprovincialis (Mediterranean mussel)
Lineage: Eukaryota; Metazoa; Mollusca; Bivalvia; Mytilida; Mytilidae
Source: RNAcentral
CCCGGUUUGGUCAAAUAAAAAAAAUCAUAAUCGCAUUACAUUAUAAUUGAUUAUUUAACUUCAGCGUUCAAAAGGAGUUUUGUGGGUCGUUGGAAAACAAGUUCGUUCACCGUCAACGGCUUAUUAUUUAUAUGAGUCUCAGAUUCAAAUAAAUAAUAAGCAAAAACUUGAAUUCCUACUCUUUAUAGAACACAAAUAUUUUUAUUUACUUUGCAUUCCGAAUUUUUUUUAACAGCAUAUUGAGAUUAAAGCUGUCUAAAUAUGCGUUUUCUAUAUGAG